CUGCUCAUAGCGCAAUUGGUAGAGCUCAAGUUUUGGGAACUUGGGGUUGCUUGUUCAAGUCAAGCUGAGCAGACCA
This 76-nucleotide transfer RNA is filed under the name Herelleviridae sp. RNAcentral describes it as "tRNA-Pro". It matches the Rfam family "tRNA". Rfam says of the family: Transfer RNA (tRNA) molecules are approximately 80 nucleotides in length. Their secondary structure includes four short double-helical elements and three loops (D, anti-codon, and T loops). Further hydrogen bonds mediate the characteristic L-shaped molecular structure. tRNAs have two regions of fundamental functional importance: the anti-codon, which is responsible for specific mRNA codon recognition, and the 3' end, to which the tRNAs corresponding amino acid is attached (by aminoacyl-tRNA synthetases). tRNAs cope with the degeneracy of the genetic code in two manners: having more than one tRNA (with a specific anti-codon) for a particular amino acid; and 'wobble' base-pairing, i.e. permitting non-standard base-pairing at the 3rd anti-codon position. Lineage: Duplodnaviria; Heunggongvirae; Uroviricota; Caudoviricetes; Herelleviridae. The record is from RNAcentral.